Molecule: ribosomal RNA, 253 nt
Filed under: uncultured bacterium
Lineage: Bacteria
Description: partial 16S ribosomal RNA
Rfam family: Bacterial small subunit ribosomal RNA
Source: RNAcentral
UACGGAGGGGGCUAGCGUUGUUCGGAAUUACUGGGCGUAAAGCGCACGUAGGCGGCUUUGUAAGUUAGAGGUGAAAGCCCGGGGCUCAACUCCGGAAUUGCCUUUAAGACUGCAUCGCUAGAAUUGUGGAGAGGUAAGUGGAAUUCCGAGUGUAGAGGUGAAAUUCGUAGAUAUUCGGCGGAACACCAGUGGCGAAGGCGACUCACUGGCCCGAUACUGACGCUGAUGCGCGAAAGCGUGGGGAGCAAACAGG